GACGAACGCUGGCGGCGUGCUUAGCACAUGCAAGUCGAACGGAAAGGCCCUGCUUUUGUGGGGUGCUCGAGUGGCGAACGGGUGAGUAACACGUGAGUAACCUGCCCUUGACUUUGGGAUAACUUCAGGAAACUGGGGCUAAUACCGGAUAGGAGCUCCUGCUGCAUGGUGGGGGUUGGAACGUUUCGGCGGUUGGGGAUGGACUCGCGGCUUAUCAGCUUGUUGGUGGGGUAGUGGCUGACCAAGGCUUUGACGGGUAGCCGGCCUGAGAGGGUGAACGGCGACAUUGGGACUGCGAUACGGCCCAGAGUCCUACGGGAGGCAGCAGUGGGGAAUAUUGCACAAUGGGCGGACGCCUGAUGAAGCAACGCCGCGUGCGGGAUGACGGCCUUCGGGUUGUAAACCGCUUUCGCCUGUGACGAAGCGUGAGUGACGGUAAUGAGUAAAGAAGCACCGGCUAACUACGUG
RNAcentral lists this ribosomal RNA (468 nucleotides) under uncultured bacterium. RNAcentral's name for it is "partial 16S ribosomal RNA". It matches the Rfam family "Bacterial small subunit ribosomal RNA", at positions 28 to 507 of the family's 1533-position model. The record is from RNAcentral.